Molecule: long non-coding RNA, 662 nt
Organism: Oryzias melastigma (Indian medaka)
Lineage: Eukaryota; Metazoa; Chordata; Actinopteri; Beloniformes; Adrianichthyidae
Exons: 4
Source: RefSeq, a predicted model, not a curated record
UAAAGGUAUAAAAGAGAAGGUCAGCGUUCAGAGCAGCAUCACAACAACUCCAGAUCUUCUUCUGAGACAGUAAAGACUUGACUGAGUGAAAUCAUGCUGAAGUUAGCGCUUGUGCUUGGAUGUCUCCUGAGCCUCACUCUGGCUCAACCUAUGGAGCAUCAGAGAGUGGCUCGUUCCAGCUCAGACUCCAACUCUGGAUCUAACUCGAAUGAGGCAACCACCACCACUGCUACAACAACUACAGCUGCAGGAACUACACUAUCAGUGAAUCAGCUGAUUGCUCAACUGCUGGCACUACUAGGAUAAAAUUAAGUCUGCCAUGGAGCCAGAAUUCAACUAGUGCUUAAAAAAAGCAUUUUGUUAAGAACAUCAAAUCUGGCUUCUGUUGUUAUUGGCUUGUCUUUGAGCAAUAAAAAUAAAAUUCAUCAUGAAUCUUUAAUGUGUUGUUGUUGUUGCUUUGAAACUUAUAAAAACAUUCAGUCUUUCAACAUAUAAUCAUGAAACUAAGAGAAACAAAUUCAUUAUUUUAAAGGAUUUACAAAGCAAACUGGUAGAAUUACUUUCAGUAGAGAAAACAACAGGUAAAAAAAUGCUACUUAAUAAAAUUGAAAGUCAUUUAAGGAAAAAAAUGGAGGAUUACCUUAGAAUUAAAAAAAAAAAAA